This is a long non-coding RNA of Monodelphis domestica (gray short-tailed opossum), 2950 nucleotides long. The record is from Ensembl. Lineage: Eukaryota; Metazoa; Chordata; Mammalia; Didelphimorphia; Didelphidae.
CUCUGGGUACUCACCAGGUUCCUCCCUGACCCCCUCAGGGGAACUCAGGAGAUCAAGUGAUGGCAGCAGAGCUCCUGCCAGUUGGGCCCCAGCUGUUCUGUGAAGUGAUGGUGGAAGUAGUAUCUUCAUUUUUAAUAAUGAGCAAACUGAGGCACAUCAAGGUGGAGUGAUUUGCCACAGCCACAGAGGUUGUAGAUUUUGUAGUUGAGAAUUGAAUCCACUUCUGAUUCCUGUGAAGAAAUCUGACCCCUGUGGGAGUCCAGUGAACCUGUGGACCUCUUUCAGAACCAUGUUUUGAAAUUACUGAAGGAAAUGCUAAAUUUCAUUUGGAAGAUAAUUGUUUUCCCAUUCAAUAUUUUCUCAUUCAAGACCACAGACUCCCUGAAAUCUAUAAACAGGCCCCUUGUAUGUCUCUGGAGCCCACGGUCCCAGACUGCGCACUGCAACAGAGAGCACUCACUGAAGAAACGAAGAUGGACAUGAAAUCCCUGGGCAAGGGCCUGGAGUCACCGCCUGCUCUACCCUGUAGCAGUGAUGCCUCACUGGGUACCCAGCCUGGAUCGACGCACCCUGAGCCCCUGCUUCCUUUCCGUGGUCUCCAACCAGAUUGUGAAACCAACACUGAGUUCAAGUUGUUGACAGUUAAAGAAGAAAUAUUUGAAGAGGAAGACUCUCAGGUGGUAAUAUUAGAAAGACUUAUAGGGGAUGUUCCUCAAGGACCUGAAUUUGGAGAAGGGUGUGAACAUGAGGAAGGAUUAGCACAACAUUGGGGUAUUUCUGAAGGAGAUGGGCUAAUAAAAUCACUUUCUCAGGAGAGGAGUUUCAGACCAGUGACCAUGGUCCACAAGAGUUCUCCAGGGGAGAUUGGCCAAGAAUGUUACGAGUUUGGCAGAAGCUUUAGUCUGAGUUCAGACCCUGUUAUGUAUCAAAGAAUUUCAUCAGGAGAAUGGUCUCAUCAGCUUGAUAACUGUGACCAAAGCUUUAAACAGAAUUCAGAUCUAAUUAACUACUCAACCAUCCAUGUAUCUGAAACACCAUGUCAGUUUAAUGAAUAUGGGAAAAUCUUCAGUCAGAGCCCAACCCUUAAUGAACAUAUGGGAGUACAGGCUGAGGAGAAACCCUAUGAGUGCAAUGAGUGUGGGAAGUCCUUCAGGGGAAGCUCAGAUCUUAUUCGACAUCAAAGUGUUCAUACUGGAGAGAAGCCGUAUAUAUGUAAUGAGUGUGGAAAAGCCUUCAGCCAGAAUGCAAUCCUCAAAAAGCAUCAACGAUCUCAUGUUACUGAGAAACCCUAUGAAUGUAACGAAUGUGGGAAAACCUUCAGUGUACGCUCCAACCUCACUCGACAUCAGAUAAAUCACACUGGAGAGAAGCCCUAUAUCUGUAAUGAAUGUGGGAAAGCUUUUAACCAGAACUCAAGCCUUAAGAAACAUCAAAGAAUCCACAACAGUGAGAAGCCCUAUAUAUGUAAUGAAUGUGGGAAGGCGUUUAGGCGGAGUUCAAACCUUAUUCAGCAUGAGAGAAUUCAUUCUGGAGAGAAGCCCUAUGGUUGUCAUGAAUGUGGGAAAGCCUUUAGGCGAAGCUCAAACUUAAUUAAACAUCAUCGAAUUCACACAGGAGAGAAGCCUUUUGAGUGCCACGAAUGUGGCAAAGCCUUUAGCCAGAGUGCACACUUGAGGAAACAUCAGAGAGUUCACACAGGAGAGAAACCCUAUCAGUGUAAUGAAUGUGGGAAACCUUUCAGUCGAAUCUCCAACCUCAUAAAACAUCAUAGAGUUCAUACUGGAGAAAAACCCUAUAAGUGUAAUGACUGUGGAAAAGCUUUCAGUCAGAGUUCAAGCCUCAUUCAGCAUCGGAGGAUUCAUACUGGAGAAAAACCACACAAAUGCAAUGAGUGUGGCAAAGCCUUUAGUUACAGCUCAGUCCUUAGGAAACAUCAGAUAAUUCACACUGGAGAGAAACCUUAUGAAUGUAAUGUGUGUGGCAAAGCCUUCAGCCAUAGUUCAGCUCUAAUUCAACAUCAGGGGAUCCAUACUGGAGAUAAGCCCUACGAAUGCAAUGAAUGUGGGAAAACCUUUGGUCGGAGCUCCAACCUCAUUCUUCAUCAGCGAGUUCAUACAGGUGAGAAACCCUAUGAAUGUAAUGAAUGCGGGAAGACCUUCAGCCAGAGUUCAACCCUAAUUCAGCAUCAAAGGAUUCAUAAUGGAUUAAAACCCCAUGAAUGUAAUGAAUGUGGCAAAGCCUUCAAUCGAAGCUCAAAUCUCAUCCACCAUCAGAAGAUCCACACUGGAGAGAAACCUUAUACAUGUACCGAAUGUGGCAAAGCCUUCAGCCAAAGCUCACACCUCAUUCAACAUCAGAUAAUCCACACUGGUGAGAGACCCUAUAAAUGUAACGAAUGUGGGAAAUCCUUCAGUCAGCGCUCAGUCCUGAUCCAACACCAGAGAAUUCACACUGGAGUGAAACCCUAUGAAUGCAGCGACUGUGGGAAAGCCUUCAGUCAGCGCUCAAAACUCCUAAAACACCAGAUAAUUCAUACCAGGGUGUGAUCUUUCUAGUGUAAUAGGCAUGUAAAAUACUUAAUAACCAGGGAAUCCAGAGUGAUUCUCUUCUGAUUUCCUAUCCUCUUUUCUGUCAGUGGCACCAUUCAUUCUCCCCAUCACCCAGGCUCAAAACCCUGGAAUUAUUAUUAACUUAUCCCCCUCCUUUAUACUUCUAUAUCUAAUUAGACAUAAAGUCCUGUUGAUUCUUUCUUUGACAUGUCUCAUGGCUGUACCUUUAUUUCUAUUCUUCUACCACCCAACAAGCCCUUCUUCUGGUGCCCAGUAUUACCUCUUAAUGUUUUUAUGUUGUGAGCAGACAACCAUGCUAUGUGGGCAACAAUUGACAAAAUGAAAUAUAUAAAGAGCUUACUAUUAUAAUGAAAUAAAACCUACCAAAAUUUAAUCUGACA